RNAcentral lists this long non-coding RNA (1186 nucleotides) under Brassica napus (rape). Its description in RNAcentral is "long non-coding RNA (BNAP_LNC027067)". Lineage: Eukaryota; Viridiplantae; Streptophyta; Magnoliopsida; Brassicales; Brassicaceae. The record is from RNAcentral.
AACUAAAGAUCAAAAGAACUACUCGCCAGGAACUUGAACUCCCUUCUUCAGCUUCUCCUUCUUCAUCUUCUUCUUGGAAAGGGGCUUCUUCUUCCUCGGAGGCAAAUUCUUCUGCGCGUAUGUGUAGAGUAUGAAGUUUCCCACAAGGAACGUCACUAGCAACCCUCCAAUCACAAGAAGGACGAUCAGUCCCGGGUUGAGCCCUUUGCUCUCUAUUUUUCCCUGUUUUCAUUGUUUUUUUUUCCUUAGCAAUUUCAAAAUAAAAUCCAUAUGCAAGAACACAACAAGAUCAAGCGAGAGGACAGGACACACAAAAACAGGUUCUUUUUUUUUUAAUGAAUGUGAAAAUAUAUAUUCAACCCAAAAAAAAAAGAAGACAUUUUUACAAUGACUGCCUCUUUGUUUUAGGAGUCUUUAACUAUCAAAAGUAUUUUAAAAACAGAGCAUUAUCUCUCUAGCUUCUUCUCAGACCAAACCAAUGUUCAGAGGUUUCAUCAUGCUGUAAGAAAAUGAGAAAAAGUUGCAGACUUUGCAACAUAUAAACACAGAUUGAAACAUCCUUACUAGCUUUACCAUCAAUGACCAUUUCUACAAACAACUAACAGAUCUCGGCAAAUUAACAUUAAGAAGCAUCAAAACCGAUGAAGAUUAUCCAAAGGUAACAACUUUAGCACGAUCAAUCAUACGAAUGGAUCCAAAAUGAUCUCGAUUUAAGAAGCGGAACACCAUAUGUGCAUUAGACCAAGAAGAUCAGAUUCUAAGCAUGCAACAUGUAAGAUUGAAAUGCAGAUCUAGCGAUUCAGAAUCAUCGUGAAUAAUUUAACUAGAGAUUUGAUGCUAAGCAUGCAAAAUGUAAGAUUGAAAUGCAGAUCUAGCGAUUCAGAAUCAUCGUGAAUAAUUUAACUAGAGAUUUGAUGAUCUCAAGGAAACGAACAAAUUAACAGAGAGGGGAGAAUAGAUCUUACAGAGAAUUCAUCAGCCAUAGCUGCGUUUAGGAGCUUCCGGAGAUCAGCACCAGUCGCCGGAGACAAUUGAAAGACUAUUUUUUUUUUUCUAAGAUUCAGCAAAUAAAUAAAGAGAAUUAGAGAUCACCGCAGCAGGAUUAUUUUUGUAAUAAAUAAAGUUAGAGGCCAAAUUGUAAAAUAAUCUAAAAUAGGGGUGAUGAUACAUAAAUAGACCACUGCCG